Pelobates cultripes (western spadefoot toad) is the source of this 238-nucleotide non-coding RNA. The record is from the annotation of a GenBank genome assembly. NCBI's taxonomy places the organism in Eukaryota, Metazoa, Chordata, Amphibia, Anura, Pelobatidae.
GGGUUAAUGAAAAACUUGAGGAAUGUUUAUUCUGAGGGGACGGCAUGUCCCUUAUAAAGCAAAAUUACAUCAUAUGCAUUGUCAGAGAUAACAUGGAAUAAUACAUCAAUAAUUGGUUAGGUGUUAAGUGGUUCAUUUAGUGCUCUUCCUACCGGGUGUGAUGUCACUGGUAUCUUGGAGGUCUCCUCCAGAUUCAAGCGCCAUCUUGUUAAUGAGGGUGUUAGUCGAUGUCAAAGGG